CCUACGGGGCGCUGCAGUGGGGAAUAUUGCACAAUGGGGGAAACCCUGAUGCAGCGACGCCGCGUGAGUGAAGAAGUAUCUCGGUACGUAAAGCUCUAUCAGCAGGGAAGAAAAUGACGGUACCUGACUCAGAAGCCCCGGCUAACUACGUGCCAGCAGCCGCGGUAAUACGUAGGGGGCAAGCGUUAUCCGGAUUUACUGGGUGUAAAGGGAGCGUAGACGGCGUGCCAAGUCUGGUGUGAAAGGCCGGGGCUCAACCCCGGGACUGCAUUGGAAACUGGCAUGCUGGAGUGCCGGAGGGGCAAGCGGAAUGCCUGGUGUAGCGGUGAAAUGCGUAGAUAUUAGGAGGAACACCGGUGGCGAAGGCGGCUUGCUGGACGGUAACUGACGUUGAGGCUCGAAAGCGUGGGGAGCGAACAGGAUUAGAUACCCGAGUAGUC
This 440-nucleotide ribosomal RNA is filed under the name uncultured bacterium. RNAcentral's name for it is "partial 16S ribosomal RNA". It matches the Rfam family "Bacterial small subunit ribosomal RNA", at positions 338 to 795 of the family's 1533-position model. The record is from RNAcentral.